Molecule: long non-coding RNA, 762 nt
Organism: Phacochoerus africanus (Common warthog)
Lineage: Eukaryota; Metazoa; Chordata; Mammalia; Artiodactyla; Suidae
Exons: 3
Source: RefSeq, a predicted model, not a curated record
CUUCAUGGGCACUAGUCAGGUUCAUUUCCUCAACGGAAACUCCCAUUCUCUAUUCCCCCAGGGGGAAAAAAAAAUAAUUUGACUCUACCCUAUCCAGUCUCCUCCCAGCCUUUAUAAACCCGCCCACCUUCCGCAAAAGCUGAAGAUCAGUUGGUGCGGCGCUGCCGGAAGUCGAAUGGGCGGAGCGUGGAAGAUGGCGAGGGGGGAUUGGCUAAGCCCAUUUUGCAGGCUGGGUAGGCCACUGCACAGACCGCUGGCAAAGGCCUAGGCCUCUGGGCGGGAGAGGGGAAAUAGGUCCCGGGAGGGGGCGGGGAGGUUUGCGCCCUAGGGCUUUAGCGACUGUCUUAGGGCGGGGGCGCCCCCUGUUCCACCUUGCAGGCCCCGAAUGAAGCCGCAGUAUUUUCCUUAUAUGAUUGGGCCCAUGGCUUGGCAGCGCUGCUGCUGGCCUGGAGCCUGAGAGGAUUAUAAUACGUGACUGGCGAGGGUCACACCCACGGCAUAUUCUAGAGGAUGAGCAGAGAGUGAUAGUAAAAUAAAACUGCCACAUUUGGGAACUGUUUGUCCAGCAUUGAAACAAGCACUUAUGAACGCCGUUUAUAAUUUUUACACUCAGGCAAUAUGAGAAUUGUACAAAACAGAAAAACAUAAUUCACAUAACAUCAGACAAAUCCAAAUUGAGGGACAUUUUGCAACUCCAUGAAAUAGGGCCACAGUUAUGGCUUGUGGAGGUUCCCAGGCUAGGGGUCUAAUCCGAGCCAUAGC